AAAAACUCAAGUGAAGCACAAUUUUAAUCCAUAAAUCAAUACAUGUCCACUGUUAUACUAUUACAACGGACUAUACUAACAACUCAACCGACCUCCCGAGCUAACUCUGAUCCUACAAACCUGGAGUUAGGGGAAAGGGAUAAGCUAUAAGAGCCUAGUGAGCAUAAACAUAAAUACAAGCAGUUUAAAAAAUAAAUGACCGUAUGAAUGCAUCAUAAUACAAAUAAUUCACAACAUAAAUAAUUUACAUCAAGAUGGACUUAUCACCAAUAACCCUCUACAUAUUCUAAUAGUGUCCGGCCCAUGAUGGGUGCUCUUCAGGACUUCCUCUUAAACAUAACAUAACAUAUCCAUAGUGUCAGAAGCAUAGAAUAGGCAACCCUAGUCUUUCCCUUACAUAGUGCCAGGAGUGUAGAAUGGGUAAGCCCUGGUCUUUUCAUAUCUGUCAUAACAUAUCAUAACAUACUCGAAAGCUAGUAUGUCAUCCAACAUCCAUCCACAAUGACAAAAAAAUUAUGCAAUACAACAUAUUCAUGAAUUCUAAUGCAAAGCACUAUAAUCAUAUAUAUACAUGGCAUUCGUGAUGCAUGAGUGUCCUUAAAACAUUUGCUUUUCUUUGAAAUAAUAAUUUAGUUUAGUUAUACUCACCUCUGACUGAUGCACACCUAACUCUGAAACAGUUAUCUCAUUGCAAGUUUUUAUGGUCUCCCAAGUUUGAUCCUACAUAGAUAGACUUAAAUGAGAGACCAAACAUAAUUUUUAUAACUCAAAAAACUACUCCAAUAAACCCCUAUAAACAUAUAAGAACACACGUAGGAAACAAGCUAAAAAAGACUGGACAGGGGAGCAGAUUUAGUGGCCUAAAGCUCAUUCACAGAUCCGAAAGUUAAACCUUCGGAGGCAGGUUAGACGGCUAAAAGGCUACCUCCACAGGCCGGUUUGGCAAUUGAACUUUACUUUAAUGGCCAAACCUGGAUUCUCUAGCAAGGCAGAAUUCGAUUCUACCUUAACUCACAGCCACCAAAACACAAUGGAAUUCCCAUGCAAUGGUUCAACAACAACAAAAAAUAACUCAACACACUAGAACCACUUAAAAAUAACCUAACUUCAUCAUGCAUUGAUCUAUAAGGCAACAUCCAUCAUCUAAAAGUGAGAACUUAAACCUCAAACCAUUUUAAAAGAAUCAUGCAUCCAUCAACAAAUCGUUAAAACACCUAUAAUUCUUUUUGAAAAACCUCAGCAACAGAAGAAAAGCAAUAAUUAAAACUUACCUCUUGGAGACACAAUGAUGACAGCAACCAAGAACUUGGAAAAGAGAACAACCGAUAUCCGAAAGAUCUCCAAAGGCUAAAAUUUAAAAAGAUGACUUCGAUUGUUCAAAACAAAGAAAAAAACUCAUGAAUUCUCUAAGAGAUUUGAAGAAAACUCAACAAAAUCAUCAAGGAAUUAUAGGCUUACCUCUACUCAGAAGAAGAGAGAAGAAUUCCUUUCAAAAUUGGGCUGAGACCCUUUUAUAGUUGGGUCUGCUAGCUAAUGUUCGGCGGCCAAACAUGAGAGGUUCGGUGACCGAACCUUGAUGACUUGAAAAUCCCUUUCUUUUUAACACAUUUUAAAAUACUUUAAAUUCAUUUUAUAAAAGCCCAUUUUAACCUUCUAAAGAUUUUAGUUUCAAAAUUCUGGAUUCCAAUGAAAAUUCUGUCGAAAAAUUAAAAUUUUGAUGCUAGAGUUUAGCCGAGUAUUACAUUCUUUCUCCCUUAAGAACAUUCAUUCUCGAAUGUUCAACCAAAUAAGCAAACAAAACAUAUAUAUCAAGAAGACACAUAAAACCAUUUUAAUAACUUACUUCAAAAGAGAUGAGAGUACUGCCUAAACAUCGACUCUCUGGUCUCCCAGAUAUACUCUUCUAUAUUUCGGUGAUUCCAUAAAACUUUCACCAUCAUGAUUUCCUUAUUCCUCAGCUUUUUGAUCUGCGUAUCUACAAUUUGUACUGGCUGCUCAACAUAGGUGCGAUAUCUUAGGAUCUCCAUAUUAGACUCAUUAAGAAUCUUGCUCGGGUCUGACAUGAAUUUCUGUAAUAGAGAAACAUGAAAAAUUGGAUAGAUUCUCUCUAUGGAAGCAGGUAAAUCUAACUUAUAAGUUACAUUCCUAAUCUUUUACAAGAUUUCAAAGGGUCAGAUGUAUCUUGGAGCUAGUUUACCUUUCUUUCCAAACUGAAUCAUCCCUUUCAUAGGAGACAUCUUAAGCAAUACCAUAUCACCCUCCUGAAAGAUGACUUGGUUUCUACGGAUGUUUGCAUAACUCUUCUGCCUACUCACAGCUGUUUUGAUUCUUUCGCUGAUGAAGGGCACCACCCUAUUGGUGAUCUCUACCAAUUCUGGUCCUGCUAAAACCCUUUCUCCUACUUCUUUCCAACAAACAGACGACCUGCACUUCCUCCCAUAUAAAGCUUUAUAAGGAUCCAUCCCAAUACUAGCAUGGUAACUAUUAUUGUAGAUAAACUCCACCAAUGGUAGAUGUUGUCUCUAAGAACCACCAAAGUCUAACUUGCCUAGAAACUGAGUACACACCCAAGCACAAAGACAUGCAAAAAAAAACCAAACACAAAUAGCACAAAGCAAAGAGAUGGAAGAGACACAAAACAUGGUAACCCUGAAAAUAGCUCAUUGCCACCAACGCUUAUCCUUUGGCUCCAUCCAAUGAAAAACAUGCUUAAAACAAAAGACAUGCAGAUAGAGACGACACAAAAGCAGCAAAGGUGAAAACCCAAUCCAACCACAAUUGAGCAAAAUAGACCAAAACAAAGCUCUCCUGCAAACAACCAACAACCAAAAUUGUCAAAUAGAACUUGACUCACCGAACGAAGAACACCACACAGAGGAAGAGAACGUGAUAGAGCUCAGUCUCGUUGGAAUCAGUGGCAACAUUCAUCGUCGGACGCAUCGACGUGAUCCCAAGAUGUCGACGUCAAAGUCAAGAAACCUCUUCUGAGUAGAAAUCAAAACAUUCCAAAGAGAAACAUCAAAAUCCAAGACCACUAGAAACAAAAAAAGUGCAACAAGCACAAAACAAACUCUAAACUAGACAAAACUAUACAUGGCCAAACAGUGAGAAGACUCAGACGCCAAAGCCCCCUCCGCACCGGCCAGAGAAACCCACACCGAAACGACCUUUAGACUUUUUACUUUCUCUCUCUUUUUUUACUCUCACCAAAACGAUCUUACAAGUUUAAUUCAUAUGAAUUCAUACUCUAAAUAGCCUUACUCAUUUUUGUUUUCUGGCUUAGCCUAAGUCUAUGUUUGGAUGGAAAAAAAAGUGAAGGAGAGGGAAAGUAAUGUGUGAAAACAAAAGAGAAUUUUGAUUUUCCAUUUAUGAAAGGAAGGAAAACAAAAAGAGGAAGGGGAAAUAUAUUUUCUUCUCAAAAAUGAAAAUAUUUAUUUUCCUAUUUUUUAUCAAUCUAAGCAUGAAGAAGGAAAAUAAAAAAUAAAAAAAAUAUUUUUCUUUUAUUAUUUUCUUUUCUCUCCUAUAAACUCAAAUAUAGUAUAAAGAAUGUGAAUGUAAUUUUAAAUUGAAAUGAUAUUUCCUUUUAUUUUCUCUUCAAAUCGAGGAGAAAAUAAUCAAAGUAAAAUAAUUUUUAUUUCCCCUCUUUUUUUUUUAUCUUUCUUUACUUUUUCAAAAAAUAUUUAAUUAAAAUUAUUUUUUUUCCUUUUAUUUUUCUUCCUUUAACUUUUUUCACAUCCAAACAUGCUCUAAAAUUGAUUUAUUUUCUCUCUUUUGGAUAUGAGUGAGGAAAAUAAAAAAUAGAGUUCCUUAUUUUCCUUCCUCUCCCAUAAAAUAUUAAAACAGAGUGAAAAGCGUUGCUUCCCAAGACGAGAAGACAAAAUUUGUUCUUUCUGUAACUCGGUUACAUUCCUUGGUUUCGUUGCCUGUCUUUUACUCCAAGUACGCUUCCUGCCUCUUCGCAGGACCACCUCUUCGUGUGUUUUCUCAUCUGGCCAUGUUUAUCCGAGCCCCUGAAGCAAAAUAAAUACACGAUUGACGCAGUUAGAAGAAAUACGCUUGUGAGCGAAAAUGGGGAUUCUCGAAGCGCACAACGUCAAGGUUUUGGGGUCAGGACUGCAAGUUUUAGUCCUAUCUCAUAGCUUUGGCACCGAUCAAUCUGUGUGGAAGUAUCUGGUGCCAUACCUGCUCGAAGACUAUCGUGUUAUUUUAUAUGAUAGUAUGGGUGCUGGUUCCACUAACCCAGAUUAUUUCGACUUCGAAAGAUACUCAACCAUUGACGGGUUUGCUUAUGAUUUGCUUGCCAUAUUAGAUGAACUAGAGGUGAAGUCUUGUAUUUUUAUUGGCCACUCAGUUUUGAGUAUGGCUGGUGCCAUUGCCUCUGUUUCUCGCCCUGAUCUCUUCUCUAAGCUCGUCUUCAUCUGUGGCACUCCGAGGUACAUAUAAAUCUCUCAUUCGAAAGCAUUAACUGUAAAAUUUUAUCAACUGAUUUCAUAAAGCUUUUGCAUGUUGAAACUAGGCCAUUGAAUGAUAAAGACUACCAUGGAGGAUUCGAGCAAGCAGACCUUGACCAAAUGCUGAAAGGAAUGCGUUCAAAUGUCGAAGCUUGGUGCCAAGGCUUCGCACCAAUGGUGGUAGGUGGCGACAUGGACUCGGCGCUUCUGCAAGAAAUCUCCCGAACAUUAUUCAACAUGAGACCUGAUAUAGGCUUAAGUUUAACCCAGGUAAAAUUCCAAUGUGACACUAGACAUAUUUUGCCUCUGGUCAAAGUCCCAUGCCACAUACUGCAGAGCGCCAAGAACAUGGUGCCAGUGGAGGUGUCUGAAUAUAUGCAUCAACAUCUUGGAGGCCCAUCUGUUGUCGAGAUUAUGUCUUCGAAAGGUCACUUGCCGCAUUUGAGCUCUCCAGACAUCGUCAUCCCAGUUAUUCUCAGGCACAUUAACCUUGAUAUAACCAAAUGAUCUAUAUACAUAUAAUGUGUGGUUUGUCUUCCAUGUGAAUGUGUGUGCUUUGUUUUCCAUGUCAAUAUCUCCUAAUCCUUUCUAUGUUUUCACUAGCAAGAAAUGAGAAGCUAUAGACCUUGUAAGCUUCAAACCUUUAAUUAAGCAUAAUGAUAUUCCAUCUUGUAUGAAUUUUGUUUAUGAUAUUCGUAAGAAAUAUUUAUUAAACAAAACUCUUUCCAUGGAAUAUAACUGAACCCAAGCAAAGAUGGCAAUAAUAAUACUAAUAAUAAUUUCAUAUAACUAUAAAUAAUAUGAAAAUUAUAAUAUUAUUGAAAUAACAUCAUAGCUUAAAUAGAUUUCUUUAGUACCAAAAUUUAGAUUCUUUCCUAAAUUUAAAUUGUUUAACUCGAUACCAUUAGAUACAUAUUUUCUAUAUUUAAUUUUUUUUAAAAAAAGUCUAAUUAUUACCCAUAAAACUCACUAAAUAAUCUAAUUAUUACUUAUUAAUAUAUUAUUUUUGAAAAUUUUAAUUUCUUUCUAAAUUUAAAUAAUUUAACGUAUAAUUUUAAUUGUUUAUAUUGAUUUGUAACAAAGUGAUUUGAAAAACCACUUCUUAAGCAAUAAAAAAUGGGUGUAUAUAAUAACUUCUGUUUGUGAAUAUUUUGAGAUGAAGAAAAAACUGAAAUUAUAGUUGAAAAUGAGAAGUAACGUUACAAAAGAGGCAUUUGCGAUAGAAAAAAUCCAUCAAUUUUAAUAAUUAUUCAGUCGUUGAAAGUAACAGCAACGAAAUUGCGACUGUAAAAAUUUCCUUAUUAAUAACCUAAUUGCUAAUAUCAGCAACAGAUUUCUAACUUCGUCACCUGUUGCUAAAAAUAUCAAUACAUAUAUUUAUCACGAAUCAUAUAUUCUUAAAGUCAUUGCAAAGUUAUCAAAAAUUCUAUUUUCUUCGUUCUAUAAUGUUUUUUCGAAAUUAUUAUCUAUUUUUUUUUUAUUUUUAAUAUUAUAAUUAAUAUAUAAAUGGAGUAUUAUAAUUUUAUUUUAUUUUCAAUAUAUACUGUAAUUAAUUUUUAUUUUUCUAAAUAAACAUUUAAAACAUCUCUUGGUAUUUAAUAAAAUUUAAUAUUUUUAAAAUAGAUAUAAUUAAAAAGUUAAUAUUAAAAAUUAUUUUUUUUAAUAUAAAAAAAAUAAAAUGAAAAAAAAUAUAGAACGAAAGAGUGUAAGUUAUAUAUUUUAUAAUUUUUCUAUAUAUUUUUUGUGUUUGUAUAUUUACAACACUUAAUAAGUAGAAUAAAUUAAUUGUGAUAUUCUGAAAAUUAUCAUGAACAUGCAUAUGUUAAUAAAAUUAGUAGAAUAAUUCAAACAUAAUAGUAAAUCUAAGUACAAACAUAUAAAUGAUAAAAAAAAAAAAAUCAUUUUUCAUCCGUAGAUGAUCUGAAUUUUUUUGAGUUCAAUUACUUCUUUUCAAAAAUAUUUGUGGAGUUCAAAUUUUUUCCCAAAGUAUUGCAUAAUUUCAACGUUAAAGCAAUCGGCCGGUGACUCGAACUAGUUAAAAUUAAAAUGAAGAAAUUAAAGAGUGCUUCUAAAAACAUAUUAAAAUGUUAAAAUGAAUUAGUUAAGUUGAUAUGGAACAGUUAGACUCCUAUUAGGAUUAGGAUUAGGAUUAUUUUUGCAUAUUAGGAUUUUAUUUAUAUUGUAAAUAGCCUCCCUUGACUAUUAGGAUUUUAGACUCCUAUUAGGAUUUUAGACUCCUAUUAGGAUUAAGAUUAUUUUUGCAUAUUAGUAUUUUAUUUCUAUUGUAAAUAGCCUCCCUUGGCUAUUAGAAUUUUAGACUCCUAUUAGGAUUACGAUUAUUUUAUUUCUAUUAUAAAUAGCCUCCCUUGGCUAUUAGAAACUCACUUUUCAAUCUUUGAGGAAUUUCAAUAAAACUUUUAGUCUUCUAGCCUAUAUUUUCUCUUAUUUCGUCUUAGCCAAAUGAUAUUGGUUAAAACUCCUGACGGAGUCUAAAUAGUCCUACAUCAGAUUGGUAUUAGAGCGAAAUUCGACCAUGGCAGAUAACCAAGAGGCGCGACUUGCUGCGAUUGAGGCAUCCUUGGCAGAAUUGAGGGAGAUGAUCGGACAGCUCACCCUGCAGCAGGGAAUCCACCAACUUGCCGCCACCGCACACCCCCAGCCAGUCGCCAAUCCUGUGGCCGCCAAUCUUGUGGUCGACAAUAAGGGAAAGGCAGUCACCUAUGUAGUGAAGAAAAUCUUAUGCUCAACUAAACAGGAGGAUGAGACGCAAAGGAGGAAGAUUUUCCAGGCCAAGUAUCGAGUAGGAGAGGCAAUUUGCAGGCUAAUUAUCGAUAGCUAUAGUUGUGAGAAUUUGAUAGCCAAGCAAUUGGUAGAAAAAUUACAGUUGCCUACACAGCCUCACCCCUCACCAUACAAAGUCGGAUGGAUUAAGGAAGGACCAACAAUUGAGGUCAACAGAAUCUGCAGCGUGCCUAUCUCGAUCGGUAAAUCUUAUACUGAACCUGUUAAUUGUGAUGUUGUGGAUAUGGAUUGCUGUGGCAUUUUGCUAGGUCGCCCGCGGCAAUUCGACGUUGAUGCUUUGCAUAAAGGGAAGAAGAAUUCAUACAUGUUCACGUGGAAUCAAAAGAAGAUUACUAUCUUGCCUUCCGGUUCUGCGAAACAUUCUAAUGUGGAAGGGAAGCAUACUGUUGCUGUUUCUACAGGAGUGCAGAAGCUAUCAGGCGCAGUUGAGAAAUCUGGAGGCACACUAGCUUUAUUGGUGAGAGCAAAAGGUACAAUGGAGGAUGCACCAUCUUUACCACCGCCCGUCAAAGAGUUGUUGAAGGAGUUUCCUAAGAUAGUAGAGGAAUCAUCAAAGCUUCCACCCCUGCGGGAUAUCCAACAUCAGAUUGAUCUCAUUCCUGGAUCAAAAUUACCGAAUCUGCCUCAUUACAAGAUGAGUCCAAAGGAGAGUGAAAUCCUCUAAGUACAAGUGGAAGAAUUACUGAAGAAGGGACAUAUUCGGGAGAGCAUUAGCCCCUGCGGAGUACCUGCCCUAUUAGUUCCAAAGAAAGAUGGGACUUGGAGAAUGUGCGUGGAUAGCAGGGCCAUCAACAAAAUUACAGUUCAAUAUCGAUUUCCUAUUCCACGAUUGGAUGACAUGCUAGAUCAGCUAUUCGGGGCUAAAGUCUUUUCUAAAAUCGACCUCAAAAGUGGCUAUCACCAAGUUCGGAUCAAGGAGGGAGAUGAAUGGAAGACUGCCUUCAAGACUAAGGAAGGCUUGUAUGAGUGGCUGGUUAUGCCCUUUGGUUUAACAAAUGCACCUAGCAUUUUUAUGCGACUCAUGAACCAGGUUUUGCGUCCUUUCUUACGCAAAUUUGUGGUUGUUUAUUUUGAUGACAUUUUGAUAUUUAGUCGCAGUGAGGAAGAACAUCUUCAGCAUCUCCGUCAAGUCAUGACGGCCCUACAAGAAAGUGAGUUGAUUAUUAAUCUUAAGAAGUGCAUCUAUAUGACGGAGCGCGUUCUGUUCCUGGGAUUCGUUGUUAGUGCAGAAGGGAUACAUGUUGAUGAGACGAAGGUAGAAGCAAUACGGAAUUGGCCCAUCCCCAAAACUAUUUCUGAAGUUCGUAGCUUUCAUGGCCUUGCCACUUUCUACCGACGGUUUAUCAGAAAUUUCAGCAGCAUCGUUGCCCCUAUCACAGAUUGCUUGAAAAAAGAGAGAGUGCAAAAAUUUGCAUGGACUGAAGCUGCCAACAAGAGCUUUGAAGAGAUUAAAGAUAAGCUUACUUCUGCCCCUAUUCUUGCUCUACCUGAUUUUGAUAAACUGUUUGAGAUUGAAUGUGAUGCUUGUGGAGUUGGGAUUGGAGGAGUAUUGUCACAGUCUAAAAGGCCUAUUGCCUUCUUUAGUGAGAAACUGAAUGAAGCUAGAAAGAAGUAGUCUACUUAUGAGCAGGAACUAUAUGCAGUAUUCCGGGCUUUUAAAACUUGGGAGCAGUAUUUGAUGGGAUGAGAAUUUAUUAUUCACACAGAUCAUCAGUCUCUGAUCCAUUUUAAAACUCAAAAACAUGUGAAUAAGAUGCAUGCCCGAUGGGCAGCUUACUUUGGAGCCUUUCAUUAUGUCAUUAAACAUAAGGCUAGCCAUAGUAAUAAGGUGGCAGAUGCUUUGAGUAGGAGGGCUGCUCUGUUGAUUACAGUUAAUCAGGAGGUUGUAGGUUUUGAAUUCCUGAAGGAUUUGUAUGCUACAGAUGAUGAUUUUGUUGAUAUAUGGGCUAGAGUCCAGACUCACCAGCCUACUGAUGGGUUCUUGAUACAUUAUGACUUUCUUUUUAAGGAGAACAGGUUAUGCAUCCCUCGAUCUUCCUUGCGGGAGAAGUUGAUUCGUGAGAUCCAUGGAGGAGGUUUGAGUGGUCAUUUGGGGCGUGAUAAGACUAUUGCUGGGUUGGAGGAGCGUUUUUACUGGCCUCAAUUAAAAAAGGAUACAGGUCGAAUGGUUCAGAAGUGCCCAGUGUGUCAAACUCAGAAGGGACAUUCGCAGAAUACAGGCUUAUACACUCCACUGCCUAUUCCAGCCCAUCCUUGGGAGGACUUGUCUAUGGAUUUUGUUCUUGGUCUUCCACGUACUCAACGUGGAUCUGAUUCCAUUUUUGUUGUUGUUGACAGGUUCUCUAAAAUGGCGCAUUUCAUUCCCUGCAAGAAAACUAAUGAUGCUUCCCAUGUAGCAAAACUAUUUUUCCAGGAGAUUGUUCGCUUACAUGGUGUCCCCAAAACCAUUACUUCUGACAGAGAUGUGAAGUUUCUAGCUCACUUCUGGGUGACUUUAUGGAAACGCUUCGGGACUGAACUUCGAUACAGCAGUGCUGCUCACCCCCAAACUGAUGGACAAACUGAAGUGGUAAACCGCACGCUUGGCAGUCUUCUACGCUGCAUCUGCAGUAACAAGAAAACUGCUUGGGAUCUUACUCUUGCCCAAGCAGAAUUUGCUUACAACAGUGCAAUUCACAGCUCCACAAAGAUGUCACCAUUUGCUGUUGUGUACAGGAAAGUCCCAGCGCAUACAGUUGAUCUUAUCGCACUUCCCACAGGUUAUCACAACCGUCUUGCAGCAAGCAACCUGGCAAAGCAGCACGUGGAUGUUUUCAAGCAAGUACAACAAUGCCUUACGGAAGCCAAUGAUAAAUAUAAAGUUAUAGCUGAUAAACAUAGGCGUUUCAAAUCCUUCAAUGUCGGUGAUCAAGUUAUGGUGUAUUUACGUAAGGAGCGUGGUGGAGGACAGAAAAAGCUUGACGCCAAAAAGAUUGGUCCAUUCCGGAUCAUUCAGAAGAUUAAUGACAAUGCCUAUGUUUUUGACCUUCCACAUGAGAUGAAAAUUUCCAAGACGUUUAACGUAGCGGAUCUAUUUCAGUACUAUCCUGUUGAAGACAACUCGAGGUCGAGUUCUUUACAAGUGGAAGGGAAUGAUAUGGAACAGUUAGACUCCUAUUAGGAUUAGGAUUAUUUUUGCAUAUUAGGAUUUUAUUUCUAUUGUAAAUAGUCUCUCUUAGCUAUUAGGAUUUUAGACUCCUAUUAGGAUUAUAAUUAUUUUAUUUCUAUUAUAAAUAGCCUCCCUUGACUAUUAGAAACUUACUUUUUAAUUUUUGAGGAAUUUCAAUAAGUCUUUUAGUCUUCUAACCUAUCUUUUCUCUUAUUUCGUCUUAGCCAAACGAUAUUGGUUAAAAUUUCUGACGGAAUCUAAAUAGUCCUACAUCAUAAGUGGUGUAGAGAGCUAACCAAUGAAAGCAGUUGAGUAGAGACCUCGAGUUACGAAGAAAAUCAACGACGCUUAAUCUGUGAAGAGAAUCCACCGCCUCGCCUUAGUUCUUGUGGAUGUCGGCACUGUAUAAUCCUCGCUUCAACGCCAUUGCCUAUCAAAACCUAAAACAAAUUAAGACAGCAGGAACUGAAAGAGAAAGUGGAAAUGAGAUAAAAUCUAGUGAAAGUCCAUCGCUAGGCAAUAAUGGGACACUAACCAGUCAUAAAAGUUCAGGUUAGCUGACGUAAACUCAUCCCAUGAAAAAUGAUGAACCAUGCCUCGCCACACCUGCUUAGCAACUUCGCAGUCCCAUAAAACAUGAAAGGCUGAUUCUAUUUCUGCAUGACAAACGCUUCACUUAGAUGUCGCCGAAUCCGUUCAAAGUUAGUGAGUCAUAAGAAUAUGCGCAUGCAUUGAGGUCCAUUCCAUUUCCAAAUCUGUUUCCAGCGCCUAUCUAGCAGAGAAUAACCUGUUUUAAUGGAGAACUGACGGGGGUACGUAGUAAGAUCCCAGACUGGACAAUCAAGUCCCAUGUAUAACGAAGGUGGUGGAAUAGCCGAGAGAGAGAAGAGUAGAGGCUCCUUCAUCCGAUUCCAAGACCAACGACCCUCCUCAUUCACGUAGUCACUAACAGGGCAAUGCAGGAUACUGUCUCGGGGUUGCUUGACUGCUACCUUACUCAGAGGAAUGCCACCGAAAACAUAAGUAUUUUCCAGACCUUGACGGCUUCCCGUUCGCAACUGACCAAACUGGUGAAUUCCACAUUGCUUUAGAAUUUGUGGAACAGAGGCAAUAUGCCCUUAUAAAAGUCUCAGUUACUCCUCUCUAGUUUUUGGAGUGAACAAAUAACAAAUUUAACACAAACCAACUUUUCCGAGAGCCAAAAGCCAUCUUUCUUUUGCCAAAGCUUAUCCACUGUAGACUGCAUAGAAUAGACUGGAAUAGCUACGAUUGAGCUAGAC
Molecule: long non-coding RNA, 11681 nt
Filed under: Manihot esculenta (cassava)
Lineage: Eukaryota; Viridiplantae; Streptophyta; Magnoliopsida; Malpighiales; Euphorbiaceae
Description: long non-coding RNA (MESC_LNC008119)
Source: RNAcentral